UACGUAGGGUGCAAGCGUUAAUCGGAAUUACUGGGCGUAAAGCGUGCGCAGGCGGUUUUGUAAGUUUUGUCGUGAAAGCCCCGGGGCUCAACCUGGGAAUUGCGAUGAAGACUGCAAGGCUUGAAUCUGGCAGAGGGGGGGUAGAAUUCCACGUGUAGCAGUGAAAUGCGUAGAGAUGUGGAGGAACACCGAUGGCGAAGGCAGCCCCCUGGGUCAAGAUUGACGCUCAUGCACGAAAGCGUGGGGAGCAAACAGG
RNAcentral lists this ribosomal RNA (256 nucleotides) under uncultured bacterium. Its description in RNAcentral is "partial 16S ribosomal RNA". It matches the Rfam family "Bacterial small subunit ribosomal RNA", at positions 524 to 776 of the family's 1533-position model. The record is from RNAcentral.